GCGCAUUGGUUGCUUGCGUGCUGCUCUGUGUUUUGUCCGCCUCCGAGUUCAUUGUUACCAUUUUACACCUGCGUGCUGCUGGUUGCUCCUGCUGGCUGUUGCUGGUG
This is a long non-coding RNA of Drosophila navojoa, 107 nucleotides long. The record is from RefSeq and is a predicted model, not a curated record. NCBI's taxonomy places the organism in Eukaryota, Metazoa, Arthropoda, Insecta, Diptera, Drosophilidae.